AGGACGAGCGCUGGCGGCGUGCUUAACACAUGCAAGUCGAGCGGAAAGGCCCUUCGGGGUACUCGAGCGGCGAACGGGUGAGUAACACGUGAGCAACCUGCCCUUAGCUCUGGGAUAGCUCCGGGAAACCGGAAUUAAUACCGGAUACGACCUAGGCCGACAUCGGCCAUGGUGGAAAGUUUUUCGGCUAGGGAUGGACUCGCGGCCUAUCAGCUAGUUGGUGGGGUAAAGGCCUACCAAGGCGACGACGGGUA
RNAcentral lists this ribosomal RNA (254 nucleotides) under uncultured bacterium. RNAcentral describes it as "partial small subunit ribosomal RNA". It matches the Rfam family "Bacterial small subunit ribosomal RNA", at positions 26 to 285 of the family's 1533-position model. The record is from RNAcentral.